GCUGGUGUAAAGACGCCAGUAAGUGGAUUGCUAGGCUUGAGGAGAGAUGAAGGACGUGGCAAGCUGCGAUAAGCCCGGGGUAGGCGCACGCGACCUUUGAUCCCGGGAUGUCCGAAUGAGAAUCUUGUUUUUUAAACACUCCGUUGCAAUGGCAGCGGAGAUCGAACCGUCGGAAUUGAAGCAUCUUAGUACGACGAGGAAAAGAAAUCAAUUGAGAUUUCCCAAGUAGUGGCGAACGAAACGGAAAUAGCCCAAACUGAAUCUGUUAUGGUAACAUAUCAGAGAUGUGGUGUUUUGGUUAUGAUAUUACGAUCCUAGAAUACAGCUGAAGUGUUCUGGAACGUACCGGCGAAGUGGGUGAUACCCCCGUAAGCGAAGUAGUAUAGGAUCUUAUCAUGACCCGAGUAGCUGUCCUUGGCAGUGGGCAGUGAAUAUAGGUGAAAGUAGUAUCUUAGGCUAAAUAUUUCUCAAGACCGAUAGUGAACUAGUACCGUGAGGGAAAGCUGAAAAGAACCCCGGAAGGGGGCUGAAAAGCGCAUGAAACUUACUGGUUACAGACGUGCAUGGCAUGAAAGGUGAUUUUUUCAUACUGGAGGUUCUAGCAAUAGAGCUAAAGGUUUGGAGGUCAAAUCAUCAGUGUCAUGCGUUCCGUCUCGAAACACGGGCCAGGGAGCUUAUUGUCAUGGCAAGUCUAAGCCCUUAAAGGUGAAGGCGAAGGGAAACCGAGUUCUCGCAACUUUUGUGAGGAGAAGCGUGUGAAAGUGCGUUGAGUCAUGGCGGUAAGGCUAGAAGCCAGUCGAUCUAUUCCUGAGCAAGCUGAAGGUGGGCGAAAGCCCGCUGGAAGGCUGUAGCAGUUCUGACGUGCAAAUCGUUUGUGUGACUUGGGAAUAGGGGUCAAGAACCAAUCUAGACUGGCGAUCGCUAGUUCCAACCGAAGCGUCUCGCAGGGCGUCCUCUGUGGAGAUAGCAUUUCCUGUAGAGCACUGAUCUUUUGGUAUGGGGGAGAAAUCCCUCGCCAUCAUUUCAAACUCCGAAUGGAUAUGCAUCGUAGAAGCAGGGAGACGGGUUCGUGUGACGUAAGGUUCACGACCGAAAGGGGUUUAACCCAGACUGAAGUUAAGGUCCCCAAAUUUUUGCUAAGUGUCAAGCCAAAGGGCGUGUUCGCGCCAAGACAGCAGGGAGGUAAGCUCAGAAGCAGCUAUCCUUUAAAAAGUGUGUAACAACUUACCUGCCGAGUGUGGGCGCCCCGAAAACGGACGGGGCUAAAGCAAAGUACCGAUACUUCAGAUACUUGUUAAUUUACAAGUCAUGGUAGGUUGGCGUAGUGAUUGGGUCGAAGCAGGGCAGUGAUGUCCUGUGGACCGAUUUCUAUUGCAGAUCCUGGUGGCAGUAACAGCAUAGUAGAGUGAGAACCUCUACCACCGCAAGCGCAAGGGUUUCCAGGCAAUGCGCUAUCAGCCUGGAGUUAGUCGAUCCUAAAAAUUACCUCAACAGAGUAAUUUGAAUGGGAAACUGGUUAAUAUUCCAGUACCUUGCAAACACGUUAUUAUCUAUAUGAUUUGCUUCUAGAUAGGGAAUGUAGAACCAUCGUUUUAUCUAACUGCUCAAGAUUCGGGGAGUGUCGUAAUGACGAGAACUGAUUCGAGGCAGGAAUGGCUUUGCGUUAGCAGAGUUUUCCCAAAUCCAGGAGACCUUGAAAGCUCGUAUAGAAAGUGUUUGUGAUGAUCGUACCGAGAACCGACACAGGUGCGCUGGCUUAGAAAGCUAAGGUGCUACGGGUAUACCGUAUGGCGAGGGAAUUCGGCAAAUUAGUCCUGUAGCUUCGGUAUAAGGGAUGCCUGCUGUUUUAAUGAGGAAUUGGGACAGCAGGUUGCAAUGACUAGGGGGUUCCGACUGUUUAAUAAAAACACAGGUGACUGCUAGUCCGAAAGGAUUUGUAUAGUCACUGAAUCCUGGCCGGUGCAGGUACCUAAAACUUGGGUUCAACCGAGCUAAGGGCCUGUUAACGCCGGGAGUAACUCUGACUCUCUCUAGGUAGCCAAAUGCCUUGUCGGGUAAGUUUCGACGCGCAUGAAUGGAACAACGAGAGCCCCACUGUCCCCGCCUACAACCCGGUGAAGCCACAUAACGUGGACGAACAGUCCAUUAUCUGUCUCUUAUAUACCUCUGAUGCCUCCCACGAACCCUUACUCACUCCUGUCCG
This 2203-nucleotide ribosomal RNA is filed under the name marine metagenome. Its description in RNAcentral is "bacterial LSU rRNA". It matches the Rfam family "Archaeal large subunit ribosomal RNA". The record is from RNAcentral.